This 204-nucleotide ribosomal RNA is filed under the name uncultured bacterium. Its description in RNAcentral is "partial 16S ribosomal RNA". It matches the Rfam family "Bacterial small subunit ribosomal RNA", at positions 1297 to 1500 of the family's 1533-position model. The record is from RNAcentral.
AUCGCAGGCUGCAACCCGCCUGCGUGAAGUCGGAAUCGCUAGUAAUCGCGGAUCAGCAUGCCGCGGUGAAUACGUUCCCGGGCCUUGUACACACCGCCCGUCACACCAUGAGAGUCGGGAACACCCGAAGUCCGUAGCCUAACAGCAAUGAGGGCGCGGCCGAAGGUGGGUUCGAUAAUUGGGGUGAAGUCGUAACAAGGUACC